AUACUUACUUGGUGUCGGGCUUUCCGGUGAUCAUUGAGGCCGGGGUCCCAUGCUGAGGCCAACCAUUGCACAGAGGAUGGCUGACGCACGCCGCUGUCCCAAAGAGGGAUGGGCGGGGCAUGUAAUUUUUGGUAGUGGGGCUUGGUGUUCACGCCAGCCCUAG
Molecule: small nuclear RNA, 163 nt
Organism: Rhipicephalus microplus (southern cattle tick)
Lineage: Eukaryota; Metazoa; Arthropoda; Arachnida; Ixodida; Ixodidae
Product: U1 spliceosomal RNA
Source: RefSeq, a predicted model, not a curated record